This 447-nucleotide ribosomal RNA is filed under the name uncultured bacterium. RNAcentral describes it as "SSU rRNA". It matches the Rfam family "Bacterial small subunit ribosomal RNA", at positions 26 to 518 of the family's 1533-position model. The record is from RNAcentral.
AGAGCGAACGCUGGCGGCAGGCCUAACACAUGCAAGUCGAGCGCCCGUAGCAAUACGGGAGCGGCAGACGGGAUAGUAACACGUGGGAACGCGCCCUUCGGUUCGGAAUAACUCAGGGAAACUUGAGCUAAUACCGGAUACGCCCUUACGGGGAAAGAUUUAUUGCCGAAGGAACGGCCCGCGUCCGAUUAGCUAGUUGGUGAGGUAAUGGCUCACCAAGGCGACGAUCGGUAGCUGGUCUGAGAGGAUGACCAGCAUCACUGGGACUGAGACACGGCCCAGACUCCUACGGGAGGCAGCAGUGGGGAAUAUUGGACAAUGGGCGCAAGCCUGAUCCAGCCAUGCCGCGUGGAUGAUGAAGGCCUUAGGGUUGUAAAGUCCUUUUAAACGGGGAAGAUAAUGACGGUACCGUAGAAUAAGCCCGGCUAACUUCGCGCCAGCAGCCGC